RNAcentral lists this ribosomal RNA (229 nucleotides) under uncultured bacterium. Its description in RNAcentral is "partial 16S ribosomal RNA". It matches the Rfam family "Bacterial small subunit ribosomal RNA", at positions 568 to 796 of the family's 1533-position model. The record is from RNAcentral.
UCCGUAGGCGGGCAAUUAAGUCAGAGGUGAAAUCCCACAGCUCAACUGUGGAACUGCCUUUGAUACUGGUUGUCUUGUGUUACAGUGAAGUAGAUAGAAUAUGUAGUGUAGCGGUGAAAUGCAUAGAUAUUACAUAGAAUACCGAUUGCGUAGGCAGUCUACUAACUGUAUACUGACGCUAAUGGACGAAAGCGUGGGGAGCGAACAGGAUUAGAUACCCUGGUAGUCC